GGGGGCGUCACGGUUUCGACGGGGAUAGUUGAAGCUGUAGCAGCGUGUCGAGGUUCCUACAGGCCUCGUAAAAUAGGUAGGAUAAAUAUAAUCGCAGACAACUACGAUUACGCUUUAGCCGCAUAGACGGCUAACGUUCUCCUGAUUCCGCCUGUCGGGUCAGAUGAGGGCGUCAAACAGGCAGGAUUGUCCGUUUGUCCGUACCCGGGGGCAAACGGGUGAAAUUUUACGGGUUGGUCCUUUUUGCAUCCUGUCUUUGGGAGAUUUAAAGGAUGAGAUCAAAGCAAAGACUAGGCACGUAGAAACUGCAGUGGAAUAUUUUCGGACGCGGGUUCGACUCCCGCCGCCUCCACCA
RNAcentral lists this transfer-messenger RNA (355 nucleotides) under Syntrophobacterales bacterium. It matches the Rfam family "transfer-messenger RNA". Rfam says of the family: Bacterial tmRNA, also known as 10Sa RNA or SsrA, is named for its dual tRNA and mRNA-like properties. Its role is to liberate the mRNA from a stalled ribosome. The record is from RNAcentral. Lineage: Bacteria; Pseudomonadati; Thermodesulfobacteriota; Syntrophobacteria; Syntrophobacterales.